Molecule: non-coding RNA, 69 nt
Organism: Actinobacteria bacterium OV450
Lineage: Bacteria; Bacillati; Actinomycetota; Actinomycetes
Source: Rfam
GCCGGUCCUCGGUAGUGGUACCCGGAAAGCCCCCGGGCACCGAACCGGGUACUUCGAUCGAAGACCGGC